This 754-nucleotide ribosomal RNA is filed under the name uncultured bacterium. Its description in RNAcentral is "bacterial SSU rRNA". It matches the Rfam family "Bacterial small subunit ribosomal RNA", at positions 636 to 1388 of the family's 1533-position model. The record is from RNAcentral.
CCAAUCUAGAGUNUCGGAGAGGAAAGUGGAAUUCCUAGUGUAGCGGUGAAAUGCGUAGAUAUUAGGAAGAACACCAGUGGCGAAGGCGACUUUCUGGACGAAAACUGACGCUGAGGCGCGAAAGCCAGGGGAGCGAACGGGAUUAGAUACCCCGGUAGUCCUGGCCGUAAACGAUGGGUACUAGGUGUAGGAGGUAUCGACCCCUUCUGUGCCGGAGUUAACGCAAUAAGUACCCCGCCUGGGGAGUACGACCGCAAGGUUGAAACUCAAAGGAAUUGACGGGGGCCCGCACAAGCGGUGGAGUAUGUGGUUUAAUUCGACGCAACGCGAAGAACCUUACCAGGUCUUGACAUUGAUGGACAGAACCAGAGAUGGUUCCUCUUCUUCGGAAGCCAGAAAACGGGUGGUGCACGGUUGUCGUCAGCUCGUGUCGUGAGAUGUUGGGUUAAGUCCCGCAACGGGCGCAACCCCUAUCUUAUGUUGCCAGCACUCCGGGUGGGGACUCAUGAGAGACUGCCGCAGACAAUGCGGAGGAAGGCGGGGAUGACGUCAAAUCAUCAUGCCCCUUAUGACCUGGGCUACACACGUACUACAAUGGGAGUUAAUAGACGGAAGCGAGAUCGCGAGAUGGAGCAAACCCGAGAAACACUCUCUCAGUUCGGAUCGUAGGCUGCAACUCGCCUACGUGAAGUCGGAAUCGCUAGUAAUCGCAGGUCAGCAUACUGCGGUGAAUACGUUCCCGGGCCUUGUACAC